Long non-coding RNA from Phyllostomus hastatus (greater spear-nosed bat), 262 nucleotides. RefSeq lists it as uncharacterized. The record is from RefSeq and is a predicted model, not a curated record. The transcript is spliced from 2 exons. Lineage: Eukaryota; Metazoa; Chordata; Mammalia; Chiroptera; Phyllostomidae.
GGAAGGAAUGCGGCAGGCGGAAAACUUGGAAAGAAAAGAGCUGUGACCAUCCCUUCUACCGAGAACAUACUUUUCUUCUAAGGAACCGCAGUUGUGUGGAUGCAGGUAGACUUUUUACAGUGGGACGAGUUACUCCAGCAUUUUUACCUGCGCGUUCCGAGUCAGUUCGGGCGAAUCAGUCCUUUCAGCAGAACAUGCCUUAGGCACUUAACCUUUCGUGGCUCAGGUGUGCCAAGACAAAAAAAAAAUGGCCCAAAUGGAA